This 69-nucleotide transfer RNA is filed under the name Rattus norvegicus (Norway rat). It matches the Rfam family "tRNA". Rfam says of the family: Transfer RNA (tRNA) molecules are approximately 80 nucleotides in length. Their secondary structure includes four short double-helical elements and three loops (D, anti-codon, and T loops). Further hydrogen bonds mediate the characteristic L-shaped molecular structure. tRNAs have two regions of fundamental functional importance: the anti-codon, which is responsible for specific mRNA codon recognition, and the 3' end, to which the tRNAs corresponding amino acid is attached (by aminoacyl-tRNA synthetases). tRNAs cope with the degeneracy of the genetic code in two manners: having more than one tRNA (with a specific anti-codon) for a particular amino acid; and 'wobble' base-pairing, i.e. permitting non-standard base-pairing at the 3rd anti-codon position. Lineage: Eukaryota; Metazoa; Chordata; Mammalia; Rodentia; Muridae. The record is from Rfam by way of RNAcentral.
GGGGAUUUGGCUCAGUAGUAGAGCACUUGCCUAGCAAGCACAAGGCCCUGGGUUCGGUCCCCAGCUCUG